UACAGAGGGUGCAAGCGUUAAUCGGAAUUACUGGGCGUAAAGGGCGCGUAGGUGGUUGAUUAAGUUAGACGUGAAAUGUUCGGGCUUAACCUGGAUUUGUCGUUUAAUACUGAUUGACUAGAGUACAGGAGAGGAUAGUGGAAUUUCCAGUGUAGCGGUGAAAUGCGUAGAUAUUGGAAGGAACACCAGUGGCGAAGGCGGCUAUCUGGCCUGAUACUGACACUGAGGCGCGAAAGCGUGGGGAGCGAACAGG
This 253-nucleotide ribosomal RNA is filed under the name uncultured bacterium. RNAcentral describes it as "partial 16S ribosomal RNA". It matches the Rfam family "Bacterial small subunit ribosomal RNA", at positions 524 to 776 of the family's 1533-position model. The record is from RNAcentral.